GACAGAGGAUGCAAGCGUUAUCCGGGAUGAUGGGGCGUAAAGCGUCUGUAGGUGGUUUAUCAAGUCUUCUGUCAAAGAUCAGGGCUUAACUCUGGGCAGGCAGGAGAAACUAGUAGACUAGAGUUCGGUAGGGGCAGAGGGAAUUCCCGGUGGAGCGGUGAAAUGCGUAGAGAUCGGGAGGUACACCAAAGGCGAAAGCACUCUGCUGGGCCUUAACUGACACUGAGAGACGAAAGCGAGGGGAGCAAAUGGG
This 253-nucleotide ribosomal RNA is filed under the name uncultured bacterium. RNAcentral's name for it is "partial 16S ribosomal RNA". It matches the Rfam family "Bacterial small subunit ribosomal RNA", at positions 524 to 776 of the family's 1533-position model. The record is from RNAcentral.